UGGCCCCUGGGUAGAACUAAUUGGGUUGAGUUGAGUGCUACACUAACAUAGCUAUCCAGUUUGCAAGUCUAAACCGGGUUCAAUUAGUGGUAACUUAGAGCUCUCUGCCUUUUACUGUGUUGUAACGCAUAGCAUAAAGGGCUUCCUGGGCAGAUUUAGGAGCACAGCACCAUUAACCAGCCUUUCAAAGGGGUAGCUAAGGUAAGCUCUGCUCACGUGCUGCAGAGCUCUGCAUGGGAAGAAUACCACUGAAUAUUGAUCACUCCAUCAAACAAACCAACAUGAUUCAACUCAACUCCAUAAAACUGACGAAAGGACAAAACUAAAUACAGCUCAGAAAUUAGGUGUGAGGACUUUCUUUACAGGACAUGCCUUGAUACACCUUGAGUAUAUGUAAGAGUUGGAGGCUUAGAUACAUAUUCUGUUUGUCUCUAUUUUUGAAGCAAGUUCAAGUAUCCCUACACAGCUGGGAUAAAAAGAUUCUGUAACCAUCACAGUCAUCCGGAACAACCUACAACAAUACUGUUUAGGUAAUUGUAUCUGCUUAAUCAAAGGACUAAAUGAACAAAAUCAGUAUGUUCAAAUGUUUACAAUUUCUACAUGGUUCAUAAUCAAAAGCAAGCAGGUUAAUAAAUGAAGGGAAAACAUGGUAUUAUUUCAUACUUAUUUCUGAGUACCAAGUAAAAAAAUACCCUAUACCCUUGACAUUGUACAGCUCUUCUUGUAUUUAACUUUACAGCUUCUAAAAAGGAACUGAAAGUGGUAUCAUUUCUGUUGCAAAGUUUUGGCAGAAAUAUUUCAGUAAUAUCAUCCUUACCAAUCUACCUCUAGGUAUAAUUAGGAUGAUUACAACUAUAAAAAAAUACAACACAUAACAGUGUUAGACAUGAAAGACUUUUUUUUUUUUCUACAAUCCUAGGAUAUUAAAAUAUCAGUUGUCCAACAUCAAGGGAAGAACAGCAAUGCCAACUGUACAUAAAUUCUUCCUUCUAUAUUAACUACACAGUGUAGAAGAUGCACUCACAAUUAAAUACAGAAGUACCUGGUUGCCCUGGUUCUCAUACUGGGAUUUACUGGGAUUCUGUCUACUGCUGCCACCGGUGAAUUGUGAAACUCGGUAUCAUUGAAUAUGACACUCUUAUCAAGACAGGGAAUUGCAAGCUGAUAUUAAGGCCCACAGAACAAAUAAACAUCACCAUAACAUCAUACAGUAACUUCAAAGAAGACAAUGGAAACUGAGCCAGUUUAAUUGUUUCCAGUUUCUUAUAUCACCUGAAAACUACAUAAUCUUCACCUACAUCAGUGGCCCAAGAUCCCAGAUUUACUGGCCAAAUAAAAAAGUUUCCAAAUUCUUAGGGACUGUAGGAAAUAGAACACUGGAUGGAUGGAAAAAUACAAGAUUACAAAACACCCCACAGUAAUCCUUUAAUGAAGGUUUUAAACUAACACGAACCCAUUAAAUAAUGUCACAUUUAAUUAGUACUUAAUAUCAUUAAUAAUGGAGUAAUUGGACCUCUUUACAAAAAGAAAGUCUAUUUAACACUGUCAUUAUUUCCGGCAAUACAAGUUACUGAAUAGUGUCUUAUUCUUAGUUGUUAUUAUUUUUUAAACAUAAAUAAGCCAGAAAUAAUGAGUGAGAGCAACUUUUCCGGGAACUGAAGACCAACCAUUUAAUUUCUGUCUGUAAAAAAACCUAAACCCACACUGUCUACUUGUGACUGUAUCAGGGGGGGAUAUAAAACUACUACUGUGCUUGUGUUGUCUUGGAAAUGUCUGCAACUUGGCCAGCUGACUCAAGUGGGAUAGCAUCGUAUGGAACUUCACAGCAAUUAUCACCCUGAAGAUAAGACCUACAGUGAGUUUUUAACAUCAGCAUGAAGACACCACUAAAGAGAAGUGGAGAAACUCACUCAUGAAGGCUAAAUUCAACCUGGCGAACAUCAUCUCACUACAGACAAGUAAGAGUGACAGACUUCCCCACAAAGCAGUUCAAAGCAGGAGUCCAGCUUGACUGCUCUGAUGCUGAGGAAGCCUUGCUCACCGCAGGAAGGAAGCAUGGGGAGGUCAGACUCACUGAACUGAAGUCAGCCUUUGUGCACAGCCCUUACACCGGCUGGAACAGCUGCUGAAAAGGCAAAACUUCUGUGACACGCUCACGCAGCUCCACCUUUAUCUAACAAAAAUACCUACAACACAGGGCAGAAAGUCUGUGCUAACAGGGGCUACUCUACAAUUCUGUUAGUCCAGUACUUUCGAGGAUGUAGACUUUUUCAGUGAUUAAAUUUGUGUUUAAUUAUGGGAAAAUGAAUUUUGUUCUCAACUCAUAUUUUAUUCAUUAAGAAUCAUGCUAAUAACUUUUUGUUAUUGUUUAUAACAAAGAUUUGUAAGAGAAAAUGUUGGUUUCCGUCCCUGUAAGCAAUUACAGGCAAAGAACAGAAAGGUGGACCCGACAGACUUCAGCAGCAUAUGGCAGGUAUAACUUGCCAGCCACACGUACACUGAAUUCAGCUGUAUGUCAAACAGGGCUGAGUGGCUGCAGGGCUGGAUUGCUGCCUUUUUUCUAGUUUCUCACAAAACUGUUUGGAGACGAUGUCCCGUUUAGCACAGGAGCGGCUAUUUCUAACAGCAUCUUCAGUCCCCCUGUACACACUUGGAUUUAUCAGAAGUCAUUUCUGUUGUUAUUCUUGAUCCUAUUAAUAUAGCAUUUUGAAAAAUAAAUGGUUGUUGCAAUUAUUUAGAGCA
Molecule: long non-coding RNA, 2742 nt
Organism: Falco peregrinus (peregrine falcon)
Lineage: Eukaryota; Metazoa; Chordata; Aves; Falconiformes; Falconidae
Exons: 2
Source: RefSeq, a predicted model, not a curated record